CUACGGGGGAUGCAAGCGUUAUUCGGAAUCAUUGGGCGUAAAGGGCACGCAGGCGGUUCUGUCAGUCAGAUGCGAAAGCCCGGGGCUUAACCCCGGACGUGCAUUUGAAACAGCAGGACUUGAGUAUGGUAGAGGAAAGCGGAAUUCCUGGUGUAGAGGUGAAAUUCGUAGAUAUCAGGAGGAACACCGGUGGCGAAGGCGGCUUUCUGGACCAAAACUGACGCUGAGGUGCGAAGGCGUGGGUAGCGAACAGGAUUAGAAACCCUAGUAGUCC
This 274-nucleotide ribosomal RNA is filed under the name uncultured bacterium. RNAcentral's name for it is "partial 16S ribosomal RNA". It matches the Rfam family "Bacterial small subunit ribosomal RNA", at positions 523 to 796 of the family's 1533-position model. The record is from RNAcentral.